GCAAAGGAGAAACUAUUAGCCAAGGUUGAUUUGACUGAUCUGGCUGGCUAGGUGGGUGUCCCCUUCCUCCCUCACCGCUCCAGGUCCCUCCCGAAGCUGCAUGCUCGGUCGAAGAGGACGGCCUUCCCUGAAUAGAGACGGACCGGUCUUUGGUUGAGGGUAUACGAGUAGCUGCGCUCCCCUGCUAGAACCUCCAAACAAGCGCUCAAUCUUUUCUUGUGCUUCUUUGCUUAGAUUCACUCAAAGAAAUAGAGCUAUAAGGGUUGUGGGUCUGUAGGGCCCUCCAGAUCUGU
Molecule: small nuclear RNA, 293 nt
Filed under: Erinaceus europaeus (western European hedgehog)
Lineage: Eukaryota; Metazoa; Chordata; Mammalia; Eulipotyphla; Erinaceidae
Description: 7SK RNA
Rfam family: 7SK RNA
About the family: 7SK was discovered as an abundant small nuclear RNA in the mid-70s but a possible function has only recently been suggested. Two independent studies have found that 7SK RNA binds the CDK9/cyclin T complex (known as elongation factor P-TEFb).
Source: Rfam by way of RNAcentral